Molecule: ribosomal RNA, 492 nt
Filed under: uncultured bacterium
Lineage: Bacteria
Description: partial 16S ribosomal RNA
Rfam family: Bacterial small subunit ribosomal RNA
Source: RNAcentral
AUUGAACGCUGGCGGCAGGCCUAACACAUGCAAGUCGAACGGUAACACGGUAAGACCUUCCUCUUACCGGUCGCGAGUGGCGGGCGUGUGAGGUGUACAUCGAACUGUAUGUUUUCGGGGGAGAACUCGUGGAGACAGUUACUAUAACAGCGCAUCCUCGCUACGCCAAAAAGCAGGGGAUUUUGGCCCCUUGCGCGCGUGUGUGCCCCGAUGUCGGAUUAGCUAGUUGGCGGGGUAAAGGCCCACCAAGGCGACGAUCCGUAGCUGGUCUGAGAGGAUGAUCAGCCACACUGGAACUGAGACACGGUCCAGACUCCUACGGGAGGCAGCAGUGGGGAAUAUUGGACAAUGGGCGCAAGCCUGAUGCAGCCAUACCGCGUGGGUGAAGAAGGCCUUCGGGUUGUAAAGCACUUUUGGUGGGAAAGAAAAGCAGAAGGUUAAUACCUCGGUGUACUGACGGUACCCGAAGAAGAAGCACCGGCUAACUUCGUG